GACGAACGCUGGCGGCGUGCUUAACACAUGCAAGUCGUACGGUAAGGCCCUUUCGGGGGUACACGAGUGGCGAACGGGUGAGUAACACGUGAGUAACCUGCCCACAACUUUGGGAUAACGCUAGGAAACUGGUGCUAAUACUGGAUAUGUGCUACUGCUGCAUGGUGGGGGUUGGAAAGCUCCGGCGGUUGUGGAUGGACUCGCGGCCUAUCAGCUUGUUGGUGGGGUAGUGGCCUACCAAGGCGGCGACGGGUAGCCGGCCUGUGAGGGUGACCGGCCACAUUGGGACUGAGAGACGGCCCAGACGCCGACGGGAGGCAGCAGUGGGGAAUAUUGCACAAUGGGCGCCAGCCUGAUGCAGCAACGCCGCGUGCGGGAUGACGGCCUUCGGGUUGUAAACCGCUUUCAGCAGGGACGAAGCUUUUUGUGACGGUACCUGCAGAAGAAGCACCGGCUAACUACGCG
This 465-nucleotide ribosomal RNA is filed under the name uncultured bacterium. Its description in RNAcentral is "partial 16S ribosomal RNA". It matches the Rfam family "Bacterial small subunit ribosomal RNA", at positions 28 to 507 of the family's 1533-position model. The record is from RNAcentral.